Molecule: long non-coding RNA, 258 nt
Organism: Bufo bufo (common toad)
Lineage: Eukaryota; Metazoa; Chordata; Amphibia; Anura; Bufonidae
Exons: 3
Source: RefSeq, a predicted model, not a curated record
UGUAGAGUUCACUGUUAAAGGGGUGGGCACUGUGGAGGUCAAUGUUUAGGGGCGGGUACUGUGGAGGUCACUGUUAAAGUGGCGGCCACUAUGAAGGUCACUGAUAAAGGGAUGGUCAAUGUUAAAGCAGCGGGCACUGUGGGAGUCACUGUUAAAGGGGCGGGCACUGUGAAGUCAAUGUUAAAGGGGCGGGCACUGUGGAGGUCACUGUUAAAGGUGUGGUCACUGUUAAAGGGGCAGGCACUGUGGAGGCCACUG